GAGUAAGGCCAAGAAAUAUGGAAUCAACACUUUAUGCAUCUCUUGAAUAAUCUUCACUUCAGGUGUGAAGAGAUUGGGGAACAACCAAGGAACUAACGUUCCGAUAGUCCCUAAUACCAAACCAAAGAUAGCUCCUAUGAUCAAGAGUGACUUGAGUAGCAUCCGAGCCUUAUCCAGACUACGAUUCACUCCAUUUAUGAAUCCAGG
This 207-nucleotide unclassified non-coding RNA is filed under the name Hevea brasiliensis (rubber tree). The record is from RNAcentral. Lineage: Eukaryota; Viridiplantae; Streptophyta; Magnoliopsida; Malpighiales; Euphorbiaceae.